Long non-coding RNA from Ochotona princeps (American pika), 1098 nucleotides. RefSeq lists it as uncharacterized. NCBI's taxonomy places the organism in Eukaryota, Metazoa, Chordata, Mammalia, Lagomorpha, Ochotonidae. The transcript has 3 exons. The record is from RefSeq and is a predicted model, not a curated record.
CUUAGACACUCAGAGUGGAGUUGCUCCAGUUACCUCCAAGGCCUCCUGGAAGGAGAAUGGGGUGGGAGGCACAGGUGUCUUGGAUUUGGAGAGGACCCAAGAAGAUGAGCUUUGCAUGGCCUUCUUUUGAGCCAGUAUGAGAUGUAAACUGGAUGCAAAGACUACAUAUGUCUCAGGCAAGGAAGCAGAGAACUGUAAAAGUAUUCCCCUUUAAUUCUGCCUCCGAGAGGAGGGACUGUGUAGAGGCAGUACAGAGCAUGGGUGACAAUGGCGGCAGUCGGCAGCAUGUGAGUGGGGUGUGGAAGGGAGGACGUGGGUUGGGGCGUAGUCACUGCAAGGGGGAGAAAGGCACAGUCACAUCUACAAAGAACAAGAGUCUGAUGUGGGACAGGACCCCACUGGGCGCUGAGACACAGGAGGGGGGCGGAGAAGCGGGGAGAACGUGGGGCAAGUUUCAGAACACUCAAGUGGGCAGCGAGAAUUAGGAGGCGGAGGCAGGCUGGGCACGGGGCCAAGGAGACGAUACAAGAGCAAGGCUAAAACUCCUCUAAAAUAGAAAGGCACUUUCACAUGUACAUACUACAGAUGUACAUUGACACAAUUAGGUAACAGUCACAAGCAGGAAGCUACCAGUACUGCAACUGAUCAAACCAACAGGAAAGGACAAUACUGAUUUAAUUAUGUGGGUAGGAGUUACCCUUGGGUACGUAGGUAAAUAGCAGUUGCUCCUGUUACACAGCCACUUACUAUACUUAAAUAACUAUAAUAACCAUCGCACUACACACUGAACUUGGAUGAAUGCUCUAAGGGGGGCAUUCACAAAUGCACGGUUUACAUAUUUUCUUUUACUAAACAGUUUCUAAGAUAAGCAUUAUGGAACCCAGUACAAUUAUUUAAACAUACAAAAUCCCCUACAUAAUUGAAAGAUACAGGUACCCAUCUUGAUUAUACCACAUACAGUAAUUUUUUAAAUUUUAAAUAAAGUAUACUAGGGUUAAGUGAAAGCUCCCAAUCCAGCUUGUUUUCUUGAUCUGAUGAGGUUUUGCCCAUCACCCUGCACCGAGCUCAGUGCUCCAGCCCAGCUGGAGGUUGGCUCAG